AUGUAAAUAAAUCAGUUACUUAAACACGCUUUUUGUUUAGAAAUUCGGCUUUAAGAAACAAUUCAACCUUUAUAUAUUGCAUAAUAAAUGUAUGAAUGAAAAAAAAAAAACGGUCAAGUUCAUGCCUUUGAGUAUUAUUGUUAUGACUCAAGAUAGUGGGCGGCAGGUUUCUAUUUUUUCCGAUAUUGCAAGCAAAAGGUUUUGCCUUAGUGUGGGCUCGUACAUGUAUCUUUAGGCUGUAUGAAGUUAAGAAGGCCUUGCCGCAUGACUGCAUUGGACAUAUAAACCGAUAUUCCCCUGAAAAUAAGAACAAAACUUUACUAUAAAUCAAUAUUCAUGUAAAGAGCUAUAAGAUUAUUGAGAAUAAUUACUGAGAAAAAUUGUAACGCUCAACAUAACACGUUUUAAACAGGAGAAAGAAAAUGUGUGCACCUCUCUCUUGGACAGUUCGCCUCACCAGAUCACACUUUUCGUAACGCUCUCGUCACGCAUUCACCAGCUUACUCCCCAGGUCAAGCGUGCAUAAAGAAGUUUUACAUCAAAAAUGCAAUUUAGACUACUGUAUUUAAUGUAUAACAAGUUCUUAUUUCUAUAAAAACAAGUUGUGUGUUUAAUUCAAAUAUAAUAUAUGUUUGGUUGCAUACAUCACCGUAUGUAAAAAUAUUUGGAUGUGUAAUAAAGACUUAAAAAAAUUAACUAAUAGACUUGUUUAUGGUUGUUGCUGAUGUUUUAAAUAGUGAAAGCCUAUUUUAUUUGUAGGAAGAUCAUCUAUUAGUAUACUGCAACAGUGAAUAACAUGCCCCUAGCUUGGUAAAACUUAUUCCUAUAACGGAUGAUACACGAUGUGUUAGGACAUGUACUAUUUCAUAGGUCAUGUAAUAUGGUUAUACCUUUAUGUGUUUUCAAGUGGGUGCGCAAAUUGCCCACUGUACUGUACGUCCUCUCGCAACCAUCGUAGUCACAUUUAUACCUUGAUGUGUUAUCUUCAACUCGGCGUCUGGUUUUGUCCAUAAUUGACUUUGGUAAUUCAAUAUUUGCCUUUGAUAAAUCUUUAAAACUUUCAUUGUUACUGCUAGAAAAUAAUAUAACAAUCUUCAAGUCAAUAUACUAAGAAGUUAACAAGUAACUAUUGGUAGUUAAAAUAUAAUUAUGUGUCUGAUUUACUCACAAAUGUCACAGAAAUCGAAUGAUCAAGGUUGAUAGUAACAAAAAGCGACUAAGCAACAUCAAUGGGAUCGGUGAUUGAAACUCAUUUUAUUUAAGCUGAAAAAUAUAUUUGUAAACAAAUGAUUAAAAGCUUUGUAUUGUGUUAAUAUGUGUUAAUGGGUAUAAAGCUCGGUCUAAUGUUAUAGCUAAAAUAUAAUAUGGAUUUCUUGCAGCA
Melitaea cinxia (Glanville fritillary) is the source of this 1381-nucleotide long non-coding RNA. RefSeq lists it as uncharacterized. NCBI's taxonomy places the organism in Eukaryota, Metazoa, Arthropoda, Insecta, Lepidoptera, Nymphalidae. The record is from RefSeq and is a predicted model, not a curated record. The transcript has 2 exons.